UACAGAGGGUGCAAGCGUUGUUCGGAAUUACUGGGCGUAAAGCGCGUGUAGGUGGCGAUGUAAGUCGGGUGUGAAAUCCCUUGGCUCAACCAAGGAAGUGCACUCGAUACUGUGUCGCUUGAGUACUGGAGGGGGUGGCGGAAUUCCCGGUGUAGAGGUGAAAUUCGUAGAUAUCGGGAGGAACACCUGUGGCGAAGGCGGCCACCUGGACAGUCACUGACACUGAGACGCGAAAGCGUGGGUAGCAAACAGG
RNAcentral lists this ribosomal RNA (253 nucleotides) under uncultured bacterium. RNAcentral's name for it is "partial 16S ribosomal RNA". It matches the Rfam family "Bacterial small subunit ribosomal RNA", at positions 524 to 776 of the family's 1533-position model. The record is from RNAcentral.